RNAcentral lists this ribosomal RNA (440 nucleotides) under Salmonella enterica subsp. enterica serovar Anatum. RNAcentral's name for it is "bacterial SSU rRNA". It matches the Rfam family "Bacterial small subunit ribosomal RNA", at positions 338 to 795 of the family's 1533-position model. The record is from RNAcentral. Lineage: Bacteria; Pseudomonadati; Pseudomonadota; Gammaproteobacteria; Enterobacterales; Enterobacteriaceae.
CCUACGGGGGGCAGCAGUAGGGAAUAUUGGACAAUGGGGGAAACCCUGAUCCAGCAAUGCCGCGUGAGUGAUGAAGGCCUUAGGGUUGUAAAGCUCUUUCGCCCGCGACGAUGAUGACGGUAGCGGGAGAAGAAGCCCCGGCUAACUUCGUGCCAGCAGCCGCGGUAAUACGAAGGGGGCUAGCGUUGUUCGGAAUUACUGGGCGUAAAGCGCACGCAGGCGGCGUGUUAAGUCAGGGGUGAAAGGCCUGGGCUCAACCCAGGAACGGCCUUUGAGACUGCCACGCUCGAGUACGGAAGAGGGUAGUGGAAUUCCCAGUGUAGAGGUGAAAUUCGUAGAUAUUGGGAAGAACACCGGUGGCGAAGGCGGCUAUCUGGACCGAUACUGACGCUGAGGCGCGAAAGCGUGGGGAGCAAACAGGAUUAGAUACCCUUGUAGUC